This 391-nucleotide ribosomal RNA is filed under the name uncultured bacterium. RNAcentral describes it as "bacterial SSU rRNA". It matches the Rfam family "Bacterial small subunit ribosomal RNA", at positions 774 to 1140 of the family's 1533-position model. The record is from RNAcentral.
AGGUAAUAGAUACCCGGGUAGUCCUGGCCCUAAACGAUGGGCACUAGGUAGCGGCCCCCCAUGGGGCCGCUGCCGGAGCGAAAGGUGUUAAAGUGCCCCGCCUGGGGAGUAUGGUCGCAAGGCUGAAACUCAAAAGGAAUUGACGGGGGCUCACACAAGCGGUGGAGCAUGUGGCUUAAAUUCGAGGCUACGCGAAGAACCUUUCCCGGGCUUGACAUGUGCGAAAGCGUCAGGGAGCACCCCGCGGAAACGCCGGGGGAACGGUAACCAGCCCGGAGCCUGACACAGGUGCUGCAUGGCUGUCGUCAGCUCGUGUCGUGAGAUGUCGGGUUAAGUCCCAUAACGAGCGAAACCCCUGUCUCCAGUUGCCAGCGCGUCACGGCGGGGACUC